Long non-coding RNA from Dreissena polymorpha, 1328 nucleotides. RefSeq lists it as uncharacterized. The record is from RefSeq and is a predicted model, not a curated record. Lineage: Eukaryota; Metazoa; Mollusca; Bivalvia; Myida; Dreissenidae. The transcript is spliced from 2 exons.
ACCUAUCAAUAUACAAAGAUUAGUAACAUCCAUUCAGACCAUUAGAAAUUAUUGGAAAUUCGAGCGGCGGAACCGAGAUCUAGAUCACGUGACAUCAAUCGAGCAGACGACGCCAUUUUUAAGCCGAGUCGGGUAAACAAUUGCCAUCAUCGUUAUCGUUUUCACACCUGUCUUUAUUGACUUUAAGGAUGCCGCGGAAGAAACGCAGUAAGGGCUUUUGUACACAGAAGUACCUAUGGAAAAAACCUAAGGUCACCUAAGGUCACAACCAGCACGGAUGAAACAAUACCUGCUCUAUCGGAUAAAACAAUACCUGCUCUAUCGGAUGAAACAAUACCUGCUCUAUCGGAUGAAAUAAAACCUGCUCUAUCGGAUGAAACAAUACCUGCUCUAUCGGGAUUGUCAAAUGAUUCAUGUUCUGGCAACAGUCAAACAUGUAGUAAUGUUUAUGUCCAAACCUGUGAUGAGGGGAAUGACCAUGACUACUGUGUUCGUUUAGAUGAUGAUUCAGGGUUGCUGAAUACAGGAUUCAUUGAUAAUGGUCCAGACAUAAUGAACAUGGAAGAUGAGACGGACAUUUUGAAUCGUGAAUUUUAGGAAGACUUUGAACAGAAUGCAAAUGGGAGAACGACACUAAAUGAAUGGGAGAGGUACCCAAUAUAUUGUACAUUGGAUCUGUUUGAAGAUUUUUUAGUGUGCUUUUAUACGCAAUAGGAAACACUUGCUGAAUCCGCUGGUUUUCCGCAUCAUCAAACUCUUGUUUGCCGCUAGACGGCUGUGAACUCUUUCUGUAUUCUGCAGCUGCAAGAAGUAAUUAAUAUGAAUAAACUAUAUGUAUAAUUUGUAUUAGACUUGACCGUAUUUAUUUUGUUUUAAUCUGUACAGAUCUUGCAAAUUAUCCACAUUGGUAACUUGUUUAACACAAAAAUGUUACAGAAAUGUUGUUCUUUCAUUUUAUGAAUCUCGUUCUGAGAAAAUUGGACAUAAUGUUUUUGCGUAAAUUGUUAUUCCAGAUUAGCCUGUGCAGUUCAUACAGGCUAACCAGGGACGACACUUUCCGCUUAUAUGACAUUUUUCUUUUAAAUAAAGUCUCUUCUUAGUAAGAAACCAAUUUAGGCGUAAAGGGUCCUCCUUGAUUAGCCUUGGUGGACUGCACAGGCUAAAUCUGGGAUGAAACUACGCACAAGCAUUAUGUCCAGUUUUCUCGAAACGCGACUCGUGUAAUGAAACAACAUUUCUUCAAUAAAAAAGUAUUUCGUUAAUUUAUUAUUAACUUUUGUGUAAUGUUGUAUGUUGUUAAAUAUGCUAUUAAACUAUCAAAUAAUUUA